GCCGGGGUGCCCUAGCCCGGUAGGGGGCGGGCCUGGAGAGCCCGUGGCCCAUUGGGCCGCGUGGGUUCGAGUCCCACCCCCGGCGCCA
Molecule: transfer RNA, 88 nt
Filed under: Thermoproteota archaeon
Lineage: Archaea; Thermoproteati; Thermoproteota
Description: tRNA-Ser
Rfam family: tRNA
About the family: Transfer RNA (tRNA) molecules are approximately 80 nucleotides in length. Their secondary structure includes four short double-helical elements and three loops (D, anti-codon, and T loops).
Source: RNAcentral